This 369-nucleotide ribosomal RNA is filed under the name uncultured bacterium. RNAcentral's name for it is "bacterial SSU rRNA". It matches the Rfam family "Bacterial small subunit ribosomal RNA", at positions 30 to 400 of the family's 1533-position model. The record is from RNAcentral.
AUUGAACGCUGGCGGCAUGCCUUACACAUGCAAGUCGAACGGCAGCACGGGGGCAACCCUGGUGGCGAGUGGCGAACGGGUGAGUAACAUAUCGGAACGUGCCCUGGAGUGGGGGAUAACUAGUCGAAAGACUAGCUAAUACCGCAUACGAUCUACGGAUGAAAGUGGGGGAUCGCAAGACCUCAUGCUCGUGGAGCGGCCGAUAUCUGAUUAGCAGUUGGUGGGGUAAAGGCCUACCAAGGCAUCGAUCAGUAGCUGGUCUGAGAGGACGACCAGCCACACUGGGACUGAGACACGGCCCAGACUCCUACGGGAGGCAGCAGUGGGGAAUUUUGGACAAUGGGCGCAAGCCUGAUCCAGCAAUGCCGC